AAAGAGCCCUACAUCGAAGGUCUAGCGAACCACGAUGACCCCGAGUCAUGCGUCGGCGUCCGCGAGGACGCAGGCGAAGCGUUGACAGGGGCACGUGCAGGCCAGGCUAUUGAGGCGCGUAAUCAGAGAAUUCGAGGUGCCGACGCUGUCUAUGGAAGCGGAAGGCAACACCACCGCUAGCGCUAUCGCAAGUUGCUUGUGGGCCCCGCGCGGUCAGAGAACC
Non-coding RNA from Acidithrix ferrooxidans, 223 nucleotides. Lineage: Bacteria; Bacillati; Actinomycetota; Acidimicrobiia; Acidimicrobiales; Acidimicrobiaceae. The record is from Rfam.